UGGAUCCAGACUUUGAUUAUGGCUCAGGAUGAACGCUAGCUACAGGCUUAACACAUGCAAGUCGAGGGGAAACGACAUUGGAAGCUUGCUUCCGAUGGGCGUCGACCGGCGCACGGGUGAGUAACGCGUAUCCAACCUGCCCACCACUUGGGAAUAACCUUGCGAAAGUAAGACUAAUGCCCAAUGACGUUGAAAGAAGACGUCUGAUUUCAACUAAAGAUUCAUCGGUGAUGGAUGGGGAUGCGUCCGAUUAGCUUGUUGGCGGGGUAACGGCCCACCAAGGCGACGAUCGGUAGGGGUUCUGAGAGGAAGGUCCCCCACAUUGGAACUGAGACACGGCCCAAACUCCUACGGGAGGCAGCAGUGAGGAAUAUUGGUCAAUGGGCGAGAGCCUGAACCAGCCAAGUAGCGUGCAGGAUGACGGCCCUAUGGGUUGUAAACUGCUUUUAUAAGGGAAUAAAGUGGGGCUCGUGAGCUCCUUUGCAUGUACCUUAUGAAUAAGGACCGGCUAAUUCCGUGCCAGCAGCCGCGGUAAUACGGAAGGUCCGGGCGUUAUCCGGGUUUAUUGGGUUUAAAGGGAGCGUAGGCCGCAGGUUAAGCGUGUUGUGAAAUGUAGGGGCUCAACCUCUGCACUGCAGCGCGAACUGGCUUGCUUGAGUACGCACAACGUGGGCGGAAUUCGUGGUGUAGCGGUGAAAUGCUUAGAUAUCACGAAGAACUCCGAUUGCGAAGGCAGCUCACGGGAGCGCAACUGACGCUGAAGCUCGAAAGUGCGGGUAUCGAACAGGAUUAGAUACCCUGGUAGUCCGCACGGUAAACGAUGGAUGCCCGCUGUUGGCUUGAAUUAGUCAGCGGCCAAGCGAAAGCAUUAAGCAUCCCACCUGGGGAGUACGCCGGCAACGGUGCAACUCAAAUGAAUUGACGGA
RNAcentral lists this ribosomal RNA (926 nucleotides) under uncultured Bacteroidota bacterium. RNAcentral describes it as "bacterial SSU rRNA". It matches the Rfam family "Bacterial small subunit ribosomal RNA", at positions 1 to 917 of the family's 1533-position model. The record is from RNAcentral. Lineage: Bacteria; Pseudomonadati; Bacteroidota.